Molecule: non-coding RNA, 978 nt
Organism: Parasteatoda tepidariorum (common house spider)
Lineage: Eukaryota; Metazoa; Arthropoda; Arachnida; Araneae; Theridiidae
Source: RefSeq, a predicted model, not a curated record
AAAAAAAAUUUUAAUUCAAAUUUUAAAAUAAUUAUUUUAUGUAAAUUAACGUUUCUCUCUAUGAUUAAUUCUUUCAUAUUCUGUUAUGCAUCUUUAUCAAUGAAUAUUUCACAUACUAUUUCGUACACAAUCAAAUACGAAAACAUGAAGAUUUCAAUGCGCCAUUUUCAUAAAACCAUCGUAAUAGGAAAAAUAUUUAUAAUGAUUCAGUAUAAUUGCCAUAAUUCGUGAGAAUGGUAGUCGUUGUACAAAAAGAUCGGUUAAAACAAUCUUUCAAUUGUCAAAGCAAUAAUACAAAUGCAUCUCGUUAACAUUGAAAUGUCACAGUCUGUUGAACAGCGACGAUGAAAGGUCACCAAGCAAACAGAACACUUUUCAUUUUGUGCCUUUUCAGGAACAGCUGCUUUUUUAUUUUUCACUUUCGUCAUUGUUGUCGUGAAAAUGAGAGUUGUGCGCAGGUGUUGAGAGAGAGUAAAUGAGCUGCGAAGUAUUUAAUGAAUUGGAGCAUGAAAACAAGAAAUUGAAAUAAUAAUUAGUAGCCUUGAUUAUGAAACUUUAAGCCAAAUCUGUAAAUUAAGCACUAAUUCGAAAUAUAAUUUUGUAAUUAAGGCCAAGUGCUAAAACUAAUUUACUGUUUCCAGAAGUAACAAGGACAUUUUUAAUGAAAAUCUGCAAAUUUAUGUUAUUGAAAAAAUAUGUUGUCUUUUCUUUAUAGUCGAGUAAAAUUAGAAUUUUUCUUUGAAAAAACUAAUACUUACAUACAUUUCUGGUUCAUUUCACACCAUGGCUUAUAAACCCUUAUCAAUCUAUCAAGUCUUAGAGAAGAACACCGUAAAGAUACAUCCAAGUUUGCAGCGAUAUUUGAGCCUGCUACCACCAUGCUACAGAGCAUUUAUCGGAACGGCAACCCAAAGACACUUUCUUUUUCUCGAUAUUUUCUUUAAAAAGGUUAAUACAAAAGUUAUCCCGUUGUUCAAA